GCCCACAACAUUAUAUUAUAUUAUUUAUUUUUAUGUCUAUAAGAAAAACAAAAAGACAUAAAAACACAAUAGGAGAUAUAGAAAAAGAAACAGUUAAAAAAGGCACAGAGGAACGGGCUAAAAAAACUUGCGUAGAACAUAUGUUGGAUGAUGACAUGACUCGUCUUGAAAUGGACAGAUGCAGGCAAUAUGCAAUAUGGUACUUGAUGGUGCAUGUCCGGCUAGGAUGUC
This 231-nucleotide long non-coding RNA is filed under the name Sorghum bicolor (sorghum). RNAcentral describes it as "long non-coding RNA (SBIC_LNC003375)". The record is from RNAcentral. Lineage: Eukaryota; Viridiplantae; Streptophyta; Magnoliopsida; Poales; Poaceae.